Brassica rapa (field mustard) is the source of this 4373-nucleotide RNA transcript. It is a transcript of the gene named DEAD-box ATP-dependent RNA helicase 42, with no coding region annotated. The record is from RefSeq and is a predicted model, not a curated record. Lineage: Eukaryota; Viridiplantae; Streptophyta; Magnoliopsida; Brassicales; Brassicaceae.
AUGGGCUCAAUGCGAAUCGAAAUAAAGUCCCUUCACUUUUUCUGUUGCGAAGGUUGUUUAGAGAUUUCCCUUUACAAUAACGAGACUUUUUUUUUUUAAUAGUGAAGGCUCUACAAUAACGUGAGACGUUAGGGUUCCGACGCUCCGGUCUAUCUCGAUUCUUCUUGUAGCUUCGUCUUCGCUUUCUCCUCCUGUUAUCUUUGAAGUUCGCGGAAUCUGGGGUGAAUUCGAUUGAUUUCUCAUCGAAUCCGUGAAAUUGAGCUUCUGUUGUUGAAGGUAGAUAUGGAGGUCGUCAAAUCCAAGUAUAGGGACGAGGAUUUGGAGGUGGAAGAGGAGGAGGAUGAUUUGAAGAGCAGCCGGAGGGACCGUGAUCGGAGUAAGGAGAGGAAGAAGGAGAGGGGUUCUGAUAAGCGCCGGGAGAAGGAUAGACGGAAGAGGCGGUCUGAGAGAGUUAAGAGUAGUGAUGAUUCUGAAGAUGAGUACGGGAGAGGGGAUGAUGAUGAUGAUGAAGAGAGGGAGAGGCGUAAAGAAAAGGAGAGGAGGCGGAGGGAUAAAGAGAGGGGGAAGAGACGGUCUGAGAGAAGGAAGAGUAGUGAUUCUGAAGAUGGCGAUGAAGAAGAUGAUGAGAGAGAUAAGCGCCGAGUGAAGGAGAAGGAGAGAGGGCACAGAGAACAUAGGGACAAAGAUCGGAAAAGGGAUAGGGAUAGAGAGAGGGAAGAGAGGAAGGAGAAAGAAAGAGAACGAGAAAGGGAGAAGGAUAGAGUUAGGAGAGAACGGGAACGAGAGGAGCGUGAGAAGGAGAGACUGAAAGAAAGAGAGAGGCGGGAGCGUGAACGGGAAGAUGGAGAGAGGGAUAGGAGGGAACGUGAGAAAGAAAGGAGUAGGAGGAACCGGGAAAGGGGGAGGUCAAGGGAGGAUGGACAUGAAGAGAGUGAUGAUGAUGUCAAGCGUGAUCUGAAACGUAGAAGAAGAGAGAGUGGAGAACGGAAGGAGAAGGAGCGUGAGAAGAGUGUUGGUAGAUCUAGCAGGCAUGGAGAUAGUCCAAGGAGAAAGAGUGUCGAGGAGGAUGAUGAAAAGAAAGAGAAGAAAACAAGGGAAGAAGAACUAGAGGAGGAGCAGAAGAAGUUGGAUGAGGAGGUUGAGAAACGGAGGAGAAGAGUCCAGGAGUGGCAAGAAUUGAAGAGGAAAAAGGAGGAAGCUGAAAGUGAAAGUAAGGGUGAUACGGAUGAUAAAGAGCCUAAGACCGGUAAGGCUUGGACUCUUGAUGGGGAAUCUGAUGAUGAAGAAGGGCAUCCGGAGGAAAACCCAGAAACUGAGAUGGAUGUUGAUGGAGAAACUAAACCCGAAAAUGGUGCAGAUGCCAAGAUGGUAGAAGCAGAGACCGAGAUGGCUGUUACUGUCUCUGAAGUUGGAGGUGAUGGAGCUGCAGACGAGGAGGAAAUUGAUCCUUUAGAUGCUUUUAUGAAUGCGAUGGUAUUACCUGAGGUUGAGAAGCUUAGCAGCAGUACUCCUCCAGCAAUUGAAGAUGGUAUUUUGGUAACUAAGAAUAAUGGGAAGAAAAGUGAUCACCAGCCGAAGAAAGGUUUUAACAAAUCCCUUGGUAGGAUAAUGCAAGGUGAAGAUUCUGAUUCUGAUUAUUCAGAACCGAAGGAUGAUGAUGAUCCAAGUUUAGAAGAAGAUGAUGAGGAGUUCAUGAAGAGAGUAAAGAAGACAAAAGCAGAAAAAUUGGCUCUUGUUGACCACUCAAAAAUAGAGUAUGAACCUUUCCGGAAGAACUUCUAUAUUGAAGUUAAGGAGAUCUCAAGGAUGACACAAGAAGAAGUUAACGCUUACAGAAAGGAAUUUGAGCUGAAAGUCCAUGGAAAGGAUGUACCGAGACCCAUAAAAUCUUGGCACCAGACUGGACUAACCAGCAAAAUUUUGGAUACCAUGAACAAGCUCAAGUAUGAAAAGCCAAUGCCUAUCCAAACGCAAGCACUGCCAAUCAUCAUGAGCGGUCGAGAUUGCAUUGGAGUUGCAAAAACCGGAUCAGGUAAAACGCUAGGUUUUGUUUUGCCUAUGUUGAGGCAUAUCAAGGAUCAGCCUCCCGUUGAAGCUGGCGAGGGGCCAAUCGGGCUGGUAAUGGCACCUACUAGGGAGCUUGUUCAGCAGAUUCAUAGCGAUAUCAAAAAGUUUUCAAAGGCACUGGGUAUAAGAUGUGUUCCUGUGUAUGGAGGAUCAGGAGUUGCGCAGCAAAUUAGUGAGCUAAAGCGAGGGACAGAGAUUGUUGUGUGCACUCCUGGAAGGAUGAUUGACAUUCUUUGCACAAGCAGUGGGAAAAUCACCAAUCUGCGGAGAGUCACAUUUUUGGUAAUGGAUGAAGCUGAUCGCAUGUUUGACAUGGGUUUUGAGCCUCAGAUUACUCGUAUUAUUCAAAAUAUUCGACCUGAUCGGCAGACUGUGCUCUUUUCUGCCACUUUUCCACGUCAAGUUGAAACAUUGGCACGUAAGGUCUUGAACAAGCCUAUUGAAAUACAGGUUGGUGGAAGGAGUGUUGUGAAUAAGGAUAUAACACAGUUAGUUGAAGUCAGACCGGAGAGUGAGAGGUUCUUAAGACUGCUGGAACUUCUUGGAGAAUGGUAUGAGAAAGGAAAGAUAUUGGUUUUUGUGCAGUCGCAGGAAAAAUGUGAUGCCUUGUUGAAGGAUUUGUUUAAAAGGAGUUAUCCGUGUCUAUCUCUUCACGGUGGUAAAGAGCAGUCUGAUCGUGAAUCAACAAUAUCUGAUUUUAAGAGCAAUGUGUGCAAUAUAUUGAUUGCCACAAGUGUUGCAGCUAGGGGUCUAGAUGUGAAAGACCUUGAGUUGGUUGUAAACUAUGAUGCUCCGAACCACUAUGAAGAUUAUGUGCAUCGCGUUGGCAGGACAGGAAGGGCAGGGCGGAAAGGCUGUGCCGUGACAUUUAUCUCUGAAGAUGAUGCAAAAUAUGCACCGGAUUUAGUAAAGGCCCUGGAACUUUCUGAGCAGCCAAUCCCCGAUGAUCUGAAAGCAAUCGCUGACGGUUUCAUGGCAAAGGUUAGACAGGGUACUGAGCAAGCCCAUGGAACUGGCUAUGGAGGUAGUGGCUUUAAAUUCAACGAAGAGGAAGAAGAAGUUAGGAAAGCAGCAAAGAAAGCACAAGCGAAGGAGUAUGGGUUUGAGGAAGAUAAGUCUGACUCAGAAGAUGAGAAUGAUGUUGUAAGAAAGGCAGGUACUGUUGGUGGUGAUACCUCACAACACCAGGCUGCUCUUGCUCAUAUAGCCGCCAUUGCUGCUGCUGCUAAAGCUAAUGCUGCUGCAAUGAAUCCUCCUGUGACUACAAACCAGUUGCUGCCGAAUGGUGGUGGGCUUACCUCUCUGCCAGGUACCCUUCCGGUUACUGUCCUUCCUAAUGAUGGGGCAGGCCGUGCUGCAGCCAUGGUUGCUGCCAUUAACCUGCAACAUAACCUGGCGAAGAUUCAAGCUGAUGCAAUGCCUGAACACUAUGAAGCAGAACUGGAGAUCAAUGAUUUCCCGCAAAACGCUCGUUGGAAGGUCACCCACAAAGAAACAUUGGGUCCAAUAUCAGACUGGACUGGAGCCGCAAUUACCACUAGAGGUCAGUUUUAUCCUCCUGGACGUAUCCUGGGACCUGGGGAACGCAAGCUCUACUUGUUCAUCGAAGGGCCUACCGAAAAAUCCGUGAAGACGGCGAAAGUUGAACUCAAGCGUGUUCUUGAAGACAUUACUAAUCAGGCUAUGUCACUUCCUGGAGGAUCGCAGGCUGGAAAGUACUCCGUCAUAUAAUGAAAGCAGCCAUGAGGUGGUCUGUUAAGUGAUUCAAAGCACACAGAGUUUAUUUUGUUUAACAAGUAUUAUUAUUUGAUUACUGUUGUGGAAUACAGUCUCUGCACAAUUUCGGAAUCUUUUCUUAUAAUAGACGUGAACUUGGUGUGACUUGGUGUUGAUUAAUACUUGUUGUUGCUCAUCAAGCUACUCGAUCUCUCUUUUAAUUCUACUCUCUUCUUUUUUGUUUGUUUGUUUGUUUAAACAAUGGCUUCGAUGGAUUUGCUAAUGCGCAUUACCGUAUGGUGGUAAUGACUGUAAAAGGAUGGGUAAAAUCUAGCUUGAUGCAGUUUUUGUGUUUGGGAAAAAUUUGUGAAACAUGAAGCUCUGUGGGAGAUAAAGGUGCUUUUGCCUCUGCAAUGGGUAAGAUGACUUGGAGAGUUAGUUCAGUUUUUGUGUCUGUGAAGGAAUCAUCAGUCUGAGUUAAUAAUGGUAAAGGGUGGUGUUUGCAUAGUACAUCGGAUCUGUGAUCAAAAUAGUUGGAAGUAAAAAAGCACUUGUAUGAGUUAUUGUUUUUCGUAUCCAAAUUUUAAAAA